UGGGAUGUACCUCAAACGGUACAGUGCUCGCUUUGCAUGCGAGAGGUAUGGGGUUCAAUACCCCGCAUCUCCA
Molecule: transfer RNA, 73 nt
Filed under: Nelumbo nucifera (sacred lotus)
Lineage: Eukaryota; Viridiplantae; Streptophyta; Magnoliopsida; Proteales; Nelumbonaceae
Rfam family: tRNA
About the family: Transfer RNA (tRNA) molecules are approximately 80 nucleotides in length. Their secondary structure includes four short double-helical elements and three loops (D, anti-codon, and T loops).
Source: Rfam by way of RNAcentral